AUUGAACGCUGGCGGCAGGCCUAACACAUGCAAGUCGAACGAGGGGCGGACGGGAGAGAAAUGUCUGGGAAACUGCAUGAUGGAGGGGGAUAACUACUGGAAACGGUAGCUAAUACCGCAUAACAUGGGAUGUGACCAGAUGGGAUUAGCUAGUAGGUGGGGUAAAGGCUCACCUAGGCCCCGAUCCCUAGCUGGUCUGAGAGGAUGACCAGCCACACUGGCACUGGGACACGGUCCAGACUCCUACGGUAGGCAGCAGUGGGGAAUAUUGCCCAAUGGGCGCAAGCCUGAUGCCGCCAUGCCGCUUGUAUUAAGAAGGCCUUCGGGUUUUAAAGUACUUUCAGCGGGGAGGCGUUACCCUCAGAAGAAGCACCGGCUAACUCCGUGCCAGCAGCCGCGGUAAUUC
Molecule: ribosomal RNA, 406 nt
Filed under: uncultured bacterium
Lineage: Bacteria
Description: partial 16S ribosomal RNA
Rfam family: Bacterial small subunit ribosomal RNA
Source: RNAcentral